UCCCCAAUGGCUCAGCAGUAGAGGAUCUGCCUGCAAUGCAGGAGGCUUGGGUUCAAUCCCUAAAUCAGGAA
Molecule: transfer RNA, 71 nt
Filed under: Bos taurus (domestic cattle)
Lineage: Eukaryota; Metazoa; Chordata; Mammalia; Artiodactyla; Bovidae
Also listed under: 2 other names
Rfam family: tRNA
About the family: Transfer RNA (tRNA) molecules are approximately 80 nucleotides in length. Their secondary structure includes four short double-helical elements and three loops (D, anti-codon, and T loops).
Source: Rfam by way of RNAcentral